GACGAACGCUGGCGGCGUGCCUAAUACAUGCAAGUCGAGUGGACCAAAGGGAGCUUGCUCCUGGAGGUUAGCGGCGAACGGGUGAGUAACACGUGGGCAACCUGCCUGUAAGACUGGGAUAACAUCGAGAAAUCGGUGCUAAUACCGGAUAAUAAAAAGAACUGCAUGGUUCUUUUUUGAAAGAUGGUUUCGGCUAUCACUUACAGAUGGGCCCGCGGCGCAUUAGCUAGUUGGUGGGGUAACGGCUCACCAAGGCGACGAUGCGUAGCCGACCUGAGAGGGUGAUCGGCCACACUGGGACUGAGACACGGCCCAGACUCCUACGGGAGGCAGCAGUAGGGAAUCUUCCGCAAUGGACGAAAGUCUGACGGAGCAACGCCGCGUGAGUGAUGAAGGUUUUCGGAUCGUAAAACUCUGUUGUUAGGGAAGAACAAGUGCCGUUCGAAAGGGCGGCACCUUGACGGUACCUAACGAGAAAGCCACGGCUAACUACGUGCCAGCAGCCGCGGUAAAGU
RNAcentral lists this ribosomal RNA (515 nucleotides) under uncultured bacterium. RNAcentral's name for it is "bacterial SSU rRNA". It matches the Rfam family "Bacterial small subunit ribosomal RNA", at positions 28 to 526 of the family's 1533-position model. The record is from RNAcentral.